Molecule: long non-coding RNA, 538 nt
Organism: Stegodyphus dumicola
Lineage: Eukaryota; Metazoa; Arthropoda; Arachnida; Araneae; Eresidae
Source: RefSeq, a predicted model, not a curated record
CUUACAAUAAAUGUUGCUUAAAACUACAUGUAGGAAAUACGAUAUCGGAAUUAUAUGCUUAACAUCAAAAUAAAUUAAACUAUAUUCAAGGAAAUUUUUAGGAUAAAAUUGUUGAGUAUGAGAAGAAAUUGGAGCUAUAAGCUUACUUAGAAAAUGAUGCGCGUGGUAUUCACAUUUGUUAACUUCAGCAAAGUCCUUUUGUUAUUCCAUGAAGGCUUCACUCCAGUUGUCAAGUCCACAAGUAGGCCUCAAUGAUAAGAAAUGUCUAAAACAGUGGCCAAACGUUUGGAAUUUGCGGCAGCAUCGCCUGAUAAAAAUAUGCAAAGAAUAACAUCAAUUUUAUAAUGAUCAAGAUAUGUCCUAUAUUAAUGUUGCAUGGAUCGUACAUUAAUUUUUGAUGGAUCUUGCAUCAAUACUGAAUCAUUUCAAUUAUUUUUAAUGUGAAAUCUUUUUGUUGAAAAAUGUAAAUACAGUAUUUUUAAUGUGAGCCUAGUUUUAUUUUUCAAAUUUCAGGUGUGUAUAAUGUGAGUGAUAAUGU